GCUAUUAUAAUUUAAAUAAAAUAUUGGUCUUGUAAACCAAAAAUGGAAAACUCCUUAUAGCA
RNAcentral lists this transfer RNA (62 nucleotides) under Parasitus wangdunqingi. RNAcentral's name for it is "tRNA-Thr". It matches the Rfam family "tRNA". From Rfam's summary of the family: Transfer RNA (tRNA) molecules are approximately 80 nucleotides in length. Their secondary structure includes four short double-helical elements and three loops (D, anti-codon, and T loops). Lineage: Eukaryota; Metazoa; Arthropoda; Arachnida; Mesostigmata; Parasitidae. The record is from RNAcentral.